RNAcentral lists this ribosomal RNA (623 nucleotides) under uncultured Thelephoraceae. Its description in RNAcentral is "eukaryotic LSU rRNA". It matches the Rfam family "Eukaryotic large subunit ribosomal RNA", at positions 52 to 656 of the family's 3401-position model. Lineage: Eukaryota; Fungi; Basidiomycota; Agaricomycetes; Thelephorales; Thelephoraceae. The record is from RNAcentral.
GGAGGAAAAGAAACUAACAAGGAUUCCCCUAGUAACUGCGAGUGAAGCGGGAAGAGCUCAAAUUUAAAAUCUGGCGUGCCUCCGGUCGUCCGAAUUGUAGUCUGGAGAAGCGUCUUCCGUGUUGGACCGUGUAUAAGUCUCUUGGAACAGGGCGUCAUAGAGGGUGAGAAUCCCGUCUUUGACACGGACUACCAAUGCUUUGUGAUGCGCUUUCAAAGAGUCGAGUUGUUUGGGAAUGCAGCUCAAAACGGGUGGUAAAUUCCAUCUAAAGCUAAAUAUAGGCGAGAGACCGAUAGCGAACAAGUACCGUGAGGGAAAGAUGAAAAGCACUUUGGAAAGAGAGUUAAACAGUACGUGAAAUUGCUGAAAGGGAAACGCUUGAAGUCAGUCGUGUCUGCCAGGACUCAGCCUUGCUUCUGCUUGGUGCACUUUCUGGUCGGAUGGGCCAACAUCAAUUUUGACCGUUGGAGAAAGGCUUGGGGAAUGUGGCACUUUCGGGUGUGUUAUAGCCCUUUGUCGUAUACGGCGGUUGGGAUUGAGGACCGCAGCAUGCCUUUAUGGCCGGGGUUCGCCCACGUACGUGCUUAGGAUGUUGGCAUAAUGGCUUUAAGCGACCCGUCUUG